Molecule: ribosomal RNA, 427 nt
Filed under: uncultured Alphaproteobacteria bacterium
Lineage: Bacteria; Pseudomonadati; Pseudomonadota; Alphaproteobacteria
Description: bacterial SSU rRNA
Rfam family: Bacterial small subunit ribosomal RNA
Source: RNAcentral
AACGCGAAGAACCUUACCAGGGCUUGACAUGGGGAGGACGCAGCCAGAGAUGGCUGUUCCCGCAAGGGCCUCCCGCACAGGUGCUGCAUGGCUGUCGUCAGCUCGUGUCGUGAGAUGUUGGGUUAAGUCCCGCAACGAGCGCAACCCUCGCCUUCAGUUGCCAUCGGGUUUGGCUGGGCACUCUGAAGGAACUGCCGGUGACAAGCCGGAGGAAGGUGGGGAUGACGUCAAGUCCUCAUGGCCCUUAUGUCCUGGGCUACACACGUGCUACAAUGGCGGUGACAGCGGGAAGCCAGGCAGCGAUGCCGAGCUGAUCCCAAAAAGCCGUCUCAGUUCAGAUUGCACUCUGCAACUCGGGUGCAUGAAGGUGGAAUCGCUAGUAAUCGCGGAUCAGCACGCCGCGGUGAAUACGUUCCCGGGCCUUGUA